AACGUAGGAGGCGAGCGUUAUCCGGAUUUAUUGGGCGUAAAGCGCGCGCGGGCGGCGUCUCAAGUCGGAUGUGAAAUCUCCUGGCUUAACUGGGAGACUGCGUUCGAAACUAGGGCGCUUGAGGUCAGUAGGGGGGAGUGGAAUUCCAGGUGUAGUGGUAAAAUGCGUAGAUAUCUGGAGGAACACCAGUGGCGAAGGCGGCUCCCUGGACUGCACCUGACGCUGAGGCGCGAAAGCGUGGGGAGCGAACGGG
Molecule: ribosomal RNA, 253 nt
Filed under: uncultured bacterium
Lineage: Bacteria
Description: partial 16S ribosomal RNA
Rfam family: Bacterial small subunit ribosomal RNA
Source: RNAcentral